AGUGAACGCUGGCGGUAGGCCUAACACAUGCAAGUCGAACGGCAGCACAGUAAGAGCUUGCUCUUACGGGUGGCGAGUGGCGGACGGGUGAGGAAUACAUCGGAAUCUACUUUUUCGUGGGGGAUAACGUAGGGAAACUUACGCUAAUACCGCAUACGACCUACGGGUGAAAGCAGGGGAUCUUCGGACCUUGCGCGAUUGAAUGAGCCGAUGUCGGAUUAGCUAGUUGGCGGGGUAAAGGCCCACCAAGGCGACGAUCCGUAGCUGGUCUGAGAGGAUGAUCAGCCACACUGGAGCUGGGACACGGUCCAGACUCCUACGGGAGGCAGCAGUGGGGAAUAUUGGACAAGGGGCGCAAGCCUGAUCCAGCCAUACCGCGUGGGUGAAGAAGGCCUUCGGGUUGUAAAGCCCUUUUGUUGGGAAAGAAAAGCAGCAGGUUAAUACCCCGCUGUUCUGACGGUACCCAAAGAAUAAGCACCGGCUAACUUCGU
RNAcentral lists this ribosomal RNA (491 nucleotides) under uncultured bacterium. RNAcentral's name for it is "partial 16S ribosomal RNA". It matches the Rfam family "Bacterial small subunit ribosomal RNA", at positions 29 to 506 of the family's 1533-position model. The record is from RNAcentral.